This 377-nucleotide ribosomal RNA is filed under the name uncultured bacterium. RNAcentral's name for it is "partial 16S ribosomal RNA". It matches the Rfam family "Bacterial small subunit ribosomal RNA", at positions 338 to 732 of the family's 1533-position model. The record is from RNAcentral.
CCUACGGGAGGCAGCAGUGGGGAAUAUUGCACAAUGGGCGAAAGCCUGAUGCAGCGACGCCGCGUGAGUGAUGAAGGAAUUCGUUACGUAAAGCUCUAUCAGCAGGGAAGAAAAUGACCGUACCUGAUUAACAAGCCCCUGCUAACUACGUGCCAGCAGCCGCGGUAAUACGUCGGGGGCAAGCGUUAUCCGGAUUUACUGGGUGGAAAGGGAGCGUAGACGGCAGUGCAAGUCUGGAGUGAAAGGCGGGGGCUCAACCCCCGGACUGCCCUGGAAACUGUACGGCUGGAGUGCAGGAGAGGUGAGUGGAAUUCCUAGUGUAGCGGUGAAAUGCGUAGAUAUUAGGAGGAACACCAGUGGCGAAGGCGGCUUACUGG